RNAcentral lists this ribosomal RNA (403 nucleotides) under uncultured bacterium. Its description in RNAcentral is "partial 16S ribosomal RNA". It matches the Rfam family "Bacterial small subunit ribosomal RNA", at positions 29 to 526 of the family's 1533-position model. The record is from RNAcentral.
AUUGAACGCUGGCGGCAGGCCUAACACAUGCAAGUCGAGCGAGCGGCGGACGGGUGAGUAAUGUAUGGGGACUGCCCGAUAGAGGGGGAUAACCACUGGAAACGGUGGCUAACACCGCAUACUAUCGGAUAACCUAUAUGGGAUUAGCUAGUAGGCGGGGUAAAGGCUCACCUAGGCGACGAUCUCUAGCCGGUCGGAGAGGAUGAUCAGCCACACGGGGACUGAGAAACGGCCCAAACUCCAACGGAGGCGGCGGUGGGGAAUAUUGGACAAUGGGGGCAAGCCUGAUGCAGCCAUGCCGCGUGUAUGAAGAAGGCCUUAGGGUUGUAAAGUACUUUCAGCGGGGAGGCGUUACCCGCAUAAGAAGCACCGGCUAACUCCGUGCCAGCAGCCGCGGUAAUUC